CUCUGCUCCAGCAUGGCCAGCAGCUCCGAGAUCUUCAGCUGGAGGCUCUUCUCCGACGCCGACGACGACCUCUCAGUGGUGAUCUCCAUCUGCAGCUUCGUAAUCUGCAACUGUAGACGGCAGAAACGGUGAGCGACUUAAACUUGAAACCUACGUUGGUAAAACAACAUAUUUCUCCACGCACCCGCAGCCGCUCGAUCUCUCUGUCUUUGUCCUUUUUUAUGUCUCCGAGCUGCUCGUUGAACUGACGGGACAACUCUUCAGUCCUGAUGUGCAGGCUGGUGCUGUUGGCUUGCCCCGCCUGCUGAAAAAAAGGGAAAAGUUGUGUCCACUCACCAAAACAUCACCGUGGAGUUAUUGAGUCUGCUUAGCUGAUUGGAGAGCUAGCUUCCGCAGCUAGUGGGUCCAUGACAAGGACUUAUUGUUUUGUUUGAUCAGCCGUUUUACUGCUGAAUUACAGGCACCGUUUGGAAACUAGUAAGGUCUUCGGUCAUGUGAAGAAGUUCUUCUCUCAGGCUGCUGAAGGUGGACAGCAGCAGACGCAUGCUCUUAUCAGCGGUCAGGCGAGUCUGACACACACAUGCACACACUUUACAUUCAGCUGACACAGCAAUUUCAACAUUGAGCCAGAUGUGCUGAUCGUUACCUGCAGCAGGUAUCGAAUUUGCUGUUUG
This is a non-coding RNA of Nerophis lumbriciformis (worm pipefish), 674 nucleotides long. Lineage: Eukaryota; Metazoa; Chordata; Actinopteri; Syngnathiformes; Syngnathidae. The record is from RefSeq and is a predicted model, not a curated record.